RNAcentral lists this unclassified non-coding RNA (432 nucleotides) under soil metagenome. RNAcentral's name for it is "partial contains 5.8S ribosomal RNA, internal transcribed spacer 2, and large subunit ribosomal RNA". The stretch from base 1 to 120 matches the Rfam family "5.8S ribosomal RNA", at positions 35 to 154 of the family's 154-position model. The record is from RNAcentral.
GAUGAAGAACGUAGCGAAAUGCGAUACGUAAUGUGAAUUGCAGAAUUCAGUGAGUCAUCGAAUCUUUGAACGCAUAUUGCGCUCUCUGGUAUUCCGGAGAGCAUGCUUGUUUGAGUAUCAGUAAACACCUCAACUCCCUUUUCUUUUUUGAAAUGGGAGCUGGACUUGAGUGAUCCCAACACUUUUCUCACUGGAAAGUGGCGGGUCACUUGAAAUGCAGGUGCAGCUGGACUUUUCUCUGAGCUAUAAGCAUAUCUAUUUAGUCUGCCUAAAAAACAGAUUAUUACCUUUGCUGCAGCUAACAUAAAGGAGAUGAGUUCUUGUGCUGACUGAUGCAGGAUUCACAGAGACAGCUUUGCGGCUGACUUUGUAAACUCGAUCUCAAAUCAAGUAAGACUACCCGCUGAACUUAAGCAUAUCAAUAGCGGAGGA